GACGAACGCUGGCGGCGCGCCUAAUACAUGCAAGUCGAACGCUUCUCCGAAAGAUGCUUGCAUCUUUCAUAUGAGAAGAGUGGCGGACGGGUGAGUAACACGUGGGUAACCUGCCCUUUAGCGGGGGAUAACAUUUGGAAACAGAUGCUAAUACCGCAUAAUUGGUUUUGCCGCAUGGCAGAACUAUGAAAGACGCUUUACGGUGUCACUAAAGGAUGGACCCGCGCUGCAUUAGUUAGUUGGUGAGGUAAUGGCUCACCAAGACCGUGAUGCAUAGCCGACCUGAGAGGGUGAUCGGCCACACUGGGACUGAGACACGGCCCAGACUCCUACGGGAGGCAGCAGUAGGGAAUCUUCGGCAAUGGACGAAAGUCUGACCGAGCAACGCCGCGUGAGUGAAGAAGGUUUCGGAUCGUAAACUCUGUUGUUAGAGAAGAAUAAGUGGGGAGAGUAACUGUUCCCACCUUGACGGUAUCUAACCAGAAAGCCACGGCUAAC
RNAcentral lists this ribosomal RNA (498 nucleotides) under uncultured Vagococcus sp. Its description in RNAcentral is "bacterial SSU rRNA". It matches the Rfam family "Bacterial small subunit ribosomal RNA", at positions 28 to 501 of the family's 1533-position model. The record is from RNAcentral. Lineage: Bacteria; Bacillati; Bacillota; Bacilli; Lactobacillales; Enterococcaceae.